GCGCCAACAGCGGUUGGACAGGGGCUCUGGGGUGUAAGAGAAACGGGGCGCCGCUCACGGGUCACCUCGCUGCGACCGGGCACAGGCUGCGAGGAACUGCAGUUCGGCCUCCCGGGACGCACACACGGCGCCGACGACGAGCAGGUGGCCCUCGUAGGGCGGCCCCGCGCCCGUCGCCCGCGCGACCGCUUACCUCAGCCAUCCUGCAGCCGCUGCGGAGCCGGCCUUCCCGGCGCGCGUCCCCUGCCCGGGCCGCUCCGCGUCCGCCCCGGCUCGGCGACCGCCGCAUCCACGCUCUGGCCGUCUGGGCCACCCCCGCCCCCCCUGCGCAGGAGAAGUGGGCGGCUCCCCGCGGCGCCGGGUGACCGCGCCGGCCCUUGCGCCCCUCGUGCACCCUCGCGUCCGCCCCGCGCCCCGGGGUCCGCCCCUCCGCUCGCCCCGCCCCGCGCCCCUACUCCGGCCGCCGGGGGCUGCGGGCGACGCUCGAGGGGGUGUGGGGAGGCCACGCAGAGUCGCCUCGGUUGAGGCCAGGCCGCGGCCCCCCGCGCACAGCGGAGACCUCGGCGGCCGCGGGCGCGGAGGUGUCUGCCCCCGGCGGGCUUGAAGGCACUUGUUGA
Molecule: long non-coding RNA, 617 nt
Filed under: Mus musculus (house mouse)
Lineage: Eukaryota; Metazoa; Chordata; Mammalia; Rodentia; Muridae
Description: long non-coding RNA chr7:81992001-81992618
Source: RNAcentral